RNAcentral lists this ribosomal RNA (465 nucleotides) under Vreelandella stevensii. RNAcentral's name for it is "partial 16S ribosomal RNA". It matches the Rfam family "Bacterial small subunit ribosomal RNA", at positions 338 to 795 of the family's 1533-position model. Lineage: Bacteria; Pseudomonadati; Pseudomonadota; Gammaproteobacteria; Oceanospirillales; Halomonadaceae. The record is from RNAcentral.
CCUACGGGAGGCUGCAGUGGGGAAUAUUGGACAAUGGGGGCAACCCUGAUCCAGCCAUGCCGCGUGUGUGAAGAAGGCCCUCGGGUUGUAAAGCACUUUCAGUGAGGAAGAACGCCUGGUGGUUAAUACCCAUCAGGAAAGACAUCACUCACAGAAGAAGCACCGGCUAACUCCGUGCCAGCAGCCGCGGUAAUACGGAGGGUGCGAGCGUUAAUCGGAAUUACUGGGCGUAAAGCGCGCGUAGGUGGCUUGAUAAGCCGGUUGUGAAAGCCCCGGGCUCAACCUGGGAACGGCACCCGGAACUGUCAAGCUAGAGUGCAGGAGAGGAAGGUAGAAUUCCCGGUGUAGCGGUGAAAUGCGUAGAGAUCGGGAGGAAUACCAGUGGCGAAGGCGGCCUUCUGGACUGACACUGACACUGAGGUGCGAAAGCGUGGGUAGCAAACAGGAUUAGAUACCCGAGUAGUC